RNAcentral lists this ribosomal RNA (811 nucleotides) under uncultured bacterium. RNAcentral's name for it is "bacterial SSU rRNA". It matches the Rfam family "Bacterial small subunit ribosomal RNA", at positions 61 to 882 of the family's 1533-position model. The record is from RNAcentral.
GUCGAACGGACUUAUACUGAAACCUAGUGAUUUAUGAGUUAGUGGCGGACGGGUGAGUAACGCGUGGAUAACCUGCCGUAUACCGGGGGAUAACACUUAGAAAUAGGUGCUAAUACCGCAUAAGCGCACGGCUCCGCAUGGGGCAGUGUGAAAAACUCCGGUGGUAUACGAUGGAUCCGCGUCUGAUUAGCUAGUUGGCGGGGUAACGGCUCGCCAAGGCAGCGAUCAGUAGCCGGCCUGAGAGGGUGGACGGCUACAUUGGGACUGAGACACGGCCCAAACUCCUACGGGAGGCAGCAGUGGGGAAUAUUGCACAAUGGGGGAAACCCUGAUGCAGCGACGCCGCGUGAGUGAAGAAGUAUCUCGGUACGUAAAGCUCUAUCAGCAGGGAAGAUAAUGACGGUACCUGACCAAGAAGCCCCGGCUAACUACGUGCCAGCAGCCGCGGUAAUACGUAGGGGGCAAGCGUUAUCCGGAUUUACUGGGUGUAAAGGGAGCGUAGACGGCAGCACAAGUCUGGAGUGAAAUCCCGGGGCUUAACCCCGGAACUGCUUUGGAAACUGUGCGGCUGGAGUGCAGGAGGGGUAAGCGGAAUUCCUAGUGUAGCGGUGAAAUGCGUAGAUAUUAGGAGGAACACCGGUGGCGAAGGCGGCUUACUGGACUGUAACUGACGUUGAGGCUCGAAAGCGUGGGGAGCAAACAGGAUUAGAUACCCUGGUAGUCCACGCCGUAAACGAUGAUUACUAGGUGUCGGGGGACCAAGGUCCUCCGGUGCCGGCGCAAACGCAUUAAGUAAUCCACCUGGGGAGUA